UGUCUGAAUGCUUACCAUGGUCAUCUUCAAUAAAAUUCUGAUGAGUUCUCUUAUGACGAAACUGUUGUUGUUUUGGAUCAUGUUGAAAUUCGAUGCUGCUGUUGAUGGAGAUGAAACCAUUGAGCUCAAAGCUGAGGAGUCAAAUUGAAGGUUGUUAUGAUCGAUGUUGUUGUUGUUAUAGAAGGAAUCUUGGUUUUGGUGAUUAUUAUUCUCAGCGGUUUCAAACUGAUGAAUUGGAUGGUGCUGGUGAUGGGACAUGCCACCAUUCAGAAAGAAUUGGUUUUCCAUUCAGCCUUUCCAGAUCAGGUGACAAACAAGUAAUUCCUUCUUUUCUUUUUUCUUUUUAAUAAUUAGCAAAAGUCUUAAAAUCAGAACAGAGUUAUGUAUGUCCCUAAAAUUUGAAGGAUAAAAUGAUUUGUUUACAUUAGAGAAGAAACAAAGAGAAUUUUGAAGGAGGAGUGGUAGCAAAUAUGGUAAGAAGGGGACAAUUGAAGUGAUGAUCAGAUCAAUUAAGGAUAAAACAUACGUCACAAUAAAAAGCUUUUUCUGGUCUGUGUCUCUGAAUUUAUUGACUAAUUGCAAUGUUAAUGAUAAGCAUUCUCAUUUAUACUUUAGCUUUCAUAUUUUUCCUUUCCAUUGGUUGGACCACAUAAUAUAAAUGCUUAUUGUUCUUGAGAAGAACAUACAGUGGGGUGCAUCAGAGCCUUGGUUUAUUUGUUUUAUUGUUUGGGUAUAUUGUGUUGUCCAUCUUGGUUGAAGUAAAUUUUCAAAACAAAUUGUGUGAAACUUCUUUCAUGGCAAUAUAUGCUUGUAAGUUCUCGAUUAAAAUAUGAUAGGCUGUAGCAAGUGAAGGCAGAACAGAUGAUGCCAAAUGAAGGGGUGAUGCAUUUGCUCGAGCAUUUUCUACUCACUUGGCACGGUUGAUGGAGGAGCCUGCUGCAUAUGGGAAAUUAGGCCUAGCCAAUUUAUUGGAAAUGAGGGAAGAGUGCUUGAGAGAGUUCCAGUUUGUUGAUGCCUAUGGAAGUAUAAAACAGAGGUAUACUUUAUUUUGGAUAAUGCUACUACUUAGCAAGC
Molecule: long non-coding RNA, 1074 nt
Organism: Arachis duranensis
Lineage: Eukaryota; Viridiplantae; Streptophyta; Magnoliopsida; Fabales; Fabaceae
Exons: 4
Source: RefSeq, a predicted model, not a curated record